AGGAGGGGGGUGAUUGCUAAAGGUCCAGUUUUAGUGAGAAGCCGUGGCUUUCUGGUAGAACCUCUCCAAUAGCCAGUAUGCAACUGUCCAGGCACAGCAGUAGAAGGAUAACCAGAAGGGGCUGUCACAGCUGUCACAGCCACUCCUCAGCCUGCUCAAGCCAACACACAGAAACAAAGGAGGCAGCUAGCCUGACGGCAAGCAGAUAAACACCAUGCUCUUAACACAGAACAACCUGCCACUUGGUGUCAAUUCAACAUCAUCUGCCCUGGCGAAGACUGACCUGCUUUCAGUAUAUGGUUUGCCUUUUUGUCUGGAAAGCAUUAGCCAGCAUCACUGUCACAGAACAAUCUACUGACAUGGGAUCCUGUAUGGCACUGUCUCAGAUCAAAGGCCUCACUCUGCAGGUGUCCCCAAGAAUCAUGACAAUAGAAUUUAGAAGAAGCUAUAUCUGAAUGGAGUGAACUUAGUAUUAAGCAAGUGAGUCUGGGGAGUACAAAGGAUGAGCUUCUGGGGUCUGUUUGAUUUGUUUCAUGGGACCAUGGCAUCCAUGGCUCAGCUGCUGUGAAAAUCGAUUGCUAUUAGCAGUACACACUCUUUUACACUUAGCCUUUGUCCACUCAACAUUAUAAUGAUUGUAUUUUCUCACGUGGUAGUACAUAGAUGCAAUCAGUUUCUUCUUCUAUAUAGUGUCCAGUUGUAUGACUGUAUCACAAUGUACUUACCCAUUCUUCUAUUAAUGGAUCUUUGCAGUAUUUACAGUUAUUACAAAUAAUGCCACCAUGUACUCUUUUUUUUUUUAACCUAUCUGAAUAUACACUCUUGUGUCUAUUGGAUAUCUACCUUGCAAUGAAAUUAUUGGGUCAAAGAAUAUAUAAAAGUUCUAUGACAGUAGAUAAUGUAAACAGCUUUCCAAAGUGAUUUGUGCCCUAGAAGGACUAUUUCACAACUCUGUAGGUGUGAGAAUAGUUUUAUAUUAUUUUCUGGAAGCCUAAUUACUUUCUUUUUUACUUUUAUAUCACUAGUCGACCUGGAAUUGAUCUUAUAUUAUUUGAUGGGUUCAGGCUUAGUUGUUUUUUUUUCAUAUUGAAAUCAACUGACCCUUUGAUUUAAAAAUAUUUCUUUUCUACUCCUUUCUCCAACAGAGCAUGAUGUGAUGUUUCAUUUGUUUGAUUUUUUUCUAAUAAAGGAG
RNAcentral lists this long non-coding RNA (1192 nucleotides) under Cavia porcellus (domestic guinea pig). RNAcentral describes it as "lncRNA (ENSCPOG00000035081.1)". Lineage: Eukaryota; Metazoa; Chordata; Mammalia; Rodentia; Caviidae. The record is from RNAcentral.